This 200-nucleotide ribosomal RNA is filed under the name uncultured bacterium. RNAcentral describes it as "partial 16S ribosomal RNA". It matches the Rfam family "Bacterial small subunit ribosomal RNA", at positions 8 to 198 of the family's 1533-position model. The record is from RNAcentral.
AGAGUUUGAUCAUGGCUCAGGACGAACGCUGGCGGCGUGCCUAACACAUGCAAGUCGAACGAGGUCCAUCCGGUGGCAACACUGGUGAAGACCUAGUGGCGAACGGGUGAGUAUCACGUGAGCAACCUGCCCCGAAGACUGGGAUAACACCGGGAAACCGGUGCUAAUACCGGAUACCCCCACCGGAUCGCAUGGUCCGG